GUCUACGGCCAUACCACCCUGAACGCGCCCAAUCUCGUCAGAUCUCGGAAGCAAAGCAGGGUCGGGCCUGGUUAGUACUUGGAUGGGAGACCGCCUGGGAAUACUGGGUGCUGUAGGCU
Molecule: ribosomal RNA, 119 nt
Filed under: Aotus nancymaae (Ma's night monkey)
Lineage: Eukaryota; Metazoa; Chordata; Mammalia; Primates; Aotidae
Source: RNAcentral